AUAUUGUGUGUAAUUCCUAAAGGAUUUGGUCUAAAUAGUUAUGAUGGUAAAGACACAAAAGUUGAAGUGGUCAUGAAUGGCAUAGAAAACCCAGCAAUGGAUCAAAAGGAAGCAGACCUGUAUGAAAAAUCAGAGAAACUGCCUAGCACGUACUUAUAGCUGAAUACAGAAGUUCUAAACAAAAUUCAUUUUUCAUUCAAGUCCUUAUUCUCUUUUACAAGUAUGUUUGUGGCUUCCUAGCUCCGUGACAAGAUCUGCUUAGAGCUACUGAAGAACAUCUGCCUACUACUGGGAUAGAAUUAUUCUUGUAUGACCCCACUAAGAUGUACUCUUCUCCCUUUGAUUUGUGUAAAUCAGUCAUUUUCUGUGGUGGUAAAAGAUAAAAAAUGGUGGUGACCACUUUAGCCUUUAGUGAAGAUCAGAUGACCAAAUGUAUCACCACUUUCCAAUCUGGGCAUGUUAUUUACUGCUGAUCCUCCUUAGAGGGAACACAGAAUGACAUCACAUGCAACGAAAGCUCGGACAUGACUACAUGGAAACAGACGUGCGUUUCCAGAUAUACCGGCACUUCAGGUCACCAACUAGGGAUACAGCAGUACAUGUAGGUGACCGAGAUUCAAAACAGGCCUCCAAGUUUCAGUAUAUAAUUCAUCUGUCAGAAUAAAAUGCUUAGGGACAUCUGAAAAUAUACAUUACUGGCAUUCUUUUUGGCAACACAACCAAAACAAUAAGAGGAUUACCAAGUUAGUUGUUCUUGAACUUUCUGUACUCUGCUCUCAACAAAACUUUAACUCAAGGCCAGACAAAAACAAAUAAGCUUCCUUUUAAAAUCAACACUAGUUUCUACCCAGAGUAGAUCCAUAAUGUUAUGUUGUUUGCAUGAGAAUUUCCUUGUGCUUCAUUCUGCAUACUCUUCUCAUGUAUCUUUAGUGAAAUGUCUCACCUAUAUUUUAAAUAUAAGAAUUGUAUAAAUCACACUCCAGGUUAAAUGACAAAGAAUACGUGGCAGUGGAAGGUACAGCUGCAUGCUUGAUCAUCCAUGGAUCCCUCGCUUGAAUAUUCCAGCAGUUUUUGAUAAGUGACAAAAAAUAUAUGGUUUAAACACAUUUUGGCUGAAAUAUUUUGCUCCUAACUUCUCCAUGUAUGGUGUUCUGUCCUUAUAUUUCUGUACUCAUGUAAUCAACUCUGUGAUUGUUGCAGCUUGGGGAAAGGAGAAAUCUAUCCUUGUAGGAAUGUCCUUUGAAGGAUGUAACUUUUCUACAACUGACUGAAUGAUGACUCAAGUUUGAAAAUGUAUCCUUAGUAAAGUGCCUAUCUUGCCACAUCAGACAUGGAUCAAAGAUACAAGUGUAUGUGUUUUCUAUGGGGUUAUAAUCAAAUUUUUGAUUCCACUUUUCCAUUGCUGUAUCACUGAAACACACACAAAAAGGCAUGAUUUUUUUCCUGUGGCAACAUUCAUUCUUUUGCUUAGUGUAUUCAAAGUUUGCCCAUGGGGUAGAGCACUGAAAAUACAAUGUAUUUAUACUAUGUUAUGUAUAACUAUAGAAUAAAUGGGGAUGUAGUAUACUGUUGUAAUUUUUUUAGGAAUGCAAUAAAUAAUUUCACAAACCA
Protopterus annectens (West African lungfish) is the source of this 1611-nucleotide long non-coding RNA. RefSeq lists it as uncharacterized. The record is from RefSeq and is a predicted model, not a curated record. The transcript is spliced from 2 exons. NCBI's taxonomy places the organism in Eukaryota, Metazoa, Chordata, Ceratodontiformes, Protopteridae.